This 330-nucleotide ribosomal RNA is filed under the name uncultured bacterium. RNAcentral describes it as "bacterial SSU rRNA". It matches the Rfam family "Bacterial small subunit ribosomal RNA", at positions 568 to 898 of the family's 1533-position model. The record is from RNAcentral.
UGUGUAGGCGGCUUUUUAAGUUUGGUGUGAAAUCUCCCGGCUUAACUGGGAGGGUGCGCCGAAUACUGAAGGGCUAGAGUGCGGGAGAGGAGAGUGGAAUUCCUGGUGUAGCGGUGAAAUGCGUAGAUAUCAGGAGGAACACCGGUGGUGUAGACGGCUCUCUGGACCGUAACUGACGCUGAGACACGAAAGCGUGGGUAGCAAACAGGAUUAGAUACCCUGGUAGUCCACGCCCUAAACGAUGCAUAUUUGGUGUGGGUCAUUCAGUUGAUCCGUGCCGGAGCUAACGCGUUAAAUAUGCCGCCUGGGGAGUACAGUCGCAAGGCUGAA